Molecule: long non-coding RNA, 290 nt
Filed under: Musa acuminata (dwarf banana)
Lineage: Eukaryota; Viridiplantae; Streptophyta; Magnoliopsida; Zingiberales; Musaceae
Description: long non-coding RNA (MACU_LNC010690)
Source: RNAcentral
CCAGAAGAGCCACCAGUUUCAUACGAAGGUAAACAGAUCCAACGUCUAGUUCCUACCGGUCCAAAUCCAGAAGAGCCACCAGUUUCAUACGAAGGUAAACAGAUCCAACGUCUAGUUCCUACCGGUCCAAAUCCAGAAGAGCCACCAGUUUCAUACGAAGGAACGAAAGAUAAGCAGAUACAACGUCUAGUUCCUACUGGUCCAAAUCCAGAAGAACCACCAGCUUCGUUCUAAGAAAUUAGACAUAUAGAUACAACGUCAAGUUUCAAUGUCUUUAAAUAAUGAAGAAU